RNAcentral lists this ribosomal RNA (390 nucleotides) under oligotrophic bacterium. Its description in RNAcentral is "bacterial SSU rRNA". It matches the Rfam family "Bacterial small subunit ribosomal RNA", at positions 88 to 490 of the family's 1533-position model. The record is from RNAcentral.
UGGAUUAGUGCCGAACGGGUGAGUAACACGUGAGUAACCUGCCCUUAACUCUGGGAUAACCCUGGGAAACUGGGUCUAAUACCGGAUAUGACUCCUCAUCGCAUGGUGGGGGGUGGAAAGCAUUAUUGUGGAUUUGGAUGGACUCACGCCCUAUCAGCUUGUUGGUGAGGUAAUGGCUCACCAAGCCGACGACGGGUAGCCGACCUGAGAGGGUGACCGGCCACACUGGGACUGAGAUACGACCCAGACUCCUACGGGAGGCAGCAGUGGGGAAUAUUUCACAAUGGGCGAAAGCCUGAUCCAGCGACGCCGCGUGAGGGAUGUCGUCCUUCGGGUUGUAAACCUCUUUCAGUACAGAAGUAGCGAAAGUGACGGUACCUGCAGAAGAAG